UUUGUGGUGAGAUUCUCUCCCAGGCCACAAGACAUUUCCUGCUCGGAACCUUGUUUACUAAUUUCCACUGCUUUUAAGGCCCUGCACUGAAAAUGCAAGCUCAGGCGCCGGUGGUCGUUGUGACCCAACCUGGAGUCGGUCCCGGUCCGGCCCCCCAGAACUCCAACUGGCAGACAGGCAUGUGUGACUGUUUCAGCGACUGCGGAGUCUCUGUGGCACAUUUUGUUUCCCGUGCCUUGGGUGUCAAGUUGCAGCUGAUAUGAAUGAAUGCUGUCUGUGUGGAACAAGCGUCGCAAUGAGGACUCUCUACAGGACCCGAUAUGGCAUCCCUGGAUCUAUUUGUGAUGACUAUAUGGCAACUCUUUGCUGUCCUCAUUGUACUCUUUGCCAAAUCAAGAGAGAUAUCAACAGAAGGAGAGCCAUGCGUACUUUCUAAAAACUGAUGGUGAAAAGCUCUUACCGAAGCAACAAAAUUCAGCAGACACCUCUUCAGCUUGAGUUCUUCACCAUCUUUUGCAACUGAAAUAUGAUGGAUAUGCUUAAGUACAACUGAUGGCAUGAAAAAAAUCAAAUUUUUGAUUUAUUAUAAAUGAAUGUUGUCCCUGAACUUAGCUAAAUGGUGCAACUUAGUUUCUCCUUGCUUUCAUAUUAUCGAAUUCGAAUUUCCUGGCUUAUAAACUUUUUAAAUUACAUUUGAAAUAUAAACCAAAUGAAAUAUUUUACUGAUAAGAUUCUUCAUGCUUCUUUGCUCUCCUUAAAAUGUCUUUUUCACUAGUUAGUUCCAAGGGUCAGUCUCAUAAUUUUGUUCUUAUACUUUGAUUUCCUUUUUCUUUUUUUUUUUUUUUAAUAGAGUUGGGGGAUCUUUCUUUCUUUUUUUUUUUUUUUUUUUGAGAUAGAGUCUCGCUCUGUUGCCCAGGCUGGAGUGCAGUGGCGUGAUCUCAGCUCACUGCAACCUCCACCUCCUGGAUACAAGCGAUUCUGCUGCCUCAGUCUCCCGAGUAGCUGGGAUUACAGGUUCCCGCCACCAUGCCCAGCUAAUUUUUGUAUUUUUAGUAGAGACGGGGUUUCACCAUCUUGGUCAGGCUGGUCUCGAACUCCUGACCUCGUGAUCCACCUGCCUCGGCAUCACAAAAUGCUGGGAUUACAGGCAUGAGCCACCGCGUCCAGCCUAGAGUUGGGGGUCUUUCUAUGUUGCCCAGGCUGGUCUUGAACUCCGGGCCUCUAGCAAGCCUCUCAUCUCAGCCUCCCAAGGUGCUGGAAUUACAGGUGUGAGCCACUGCACCAUACUUUGGUUUCUUAGCAGGAGAUUUUGGUUCACAGUAACCCAGCUCUCUUUCAUCUAAGAACUUUAGAU
This 1354-nucleotide long non-coding RNA is filed under the name Homo sapiens (human). Its description in RNAcentral is "long non-coding RNA NONHSAT200149.1". Lineage: Eukaryota; Metazoa; Chordata; Mammalia; Primates; Hominidae. The record is from RNAcentral.